This 504-nucleotide ribosomal RNA is filed under the name uncultured Planctomycetota bacterium. Its description in RNAcentral is "bacterial SSU rRNA". It matches the Rfam family "Bacterial small subunit ribosomal RNA", at positions 355 to 859 of the family's 1533-position model. Lineage: Bacteria; Pseudomonadati; Planctomycetota. The record is from RNAcentral.
UCGAGAAUCUUCGGCAAUGGGCGCAAGCCUGACCGAGCGACACCGCGUGCGGGAUGAAGGCCUUCGGGUUGUAAACCGCUGUCGUAGGGGAGGAAGGGCCUGCGAAGAGCAGGACUUGACCGAUCCUAGGAGGAAGGGCCGGCUAAUCUCGUGCCAGCAGCCGCGGUAAUACGAGAGGCCCAAACGUUAUUCGGAUUUACUGGGCUUAAAGAGUUCGUAGGCGGCUUGGAAAGUGGGGUGUGAAAGCCCUCGGCUCAACCGAGGAAUUGCGCUCCAAACUACCGAGCUUGAGGAAGCUAGAGGUGAGCAGAACUGAUGGUGGAGCGGUGAAAUGCGUUGAUAUCAUCAGGAAUACCGGAGGCGAAGGCGGCUCACUGGGACUUUUCUGACGCUGAGGAACGAAAGCUAGGGGAGCAAACGGGAUUAGAUACCCCGGUAGUCCUAGCCGUAAACGGUGAGCACUGGACCGGGGGCCUGCACAGGCCCUCGGUCGUAGCGAAAGUG